GAUGAACGCUGGCGGCGUGCCUAAUACAUGCCAGUAGAACGCUGAAGGAAGGAGCUUGCUCUUUCCGGAUGAGUUGCGAACGGGUGAGUAACGCGUAGGUAACCUGCCUGGUAGCGGGGGAUAACUAUUGGAAACGAUAGCUAAUACCGCAUAACAGUAGAUGUUGCAUGAUAUCUACUUAAAAGGUGCAAUUGCACCACUACCAGAUGGACCUGCGUUGUAUUAGCUAGUUGGUGAGGUAACGGCUCACCAAGGCGACGAUACAUAGCCGACCUGAGAGGGUGAUCGGCCACACUGGGACUGAGACACGGCCCAGACCCCUACGGGAGGCAGCAGUAGGGAAUCUUCGGCAAUGGACGGAAGUCUGACCGAGCAACGCCGCGUGAGUGAAGAAGGUUUUCGGAUCGUAAAGCUCUGUUGUAAGAGAAGAACGAGUGUGAGAGUGGAAAGUUCACACUGUGACGGUAUCUUACCAGAAAGGGACGGCUAACUACGUG
Molecule: ribosomal RNA, 497 nt
Filed under: uncultured bacterium
Lineage: Bacteria
Description: partial 16S ribosomal RNA
Rfam family: Bacterial small subunit ribosomal RNA
Source: RNAcentral